Molecule: ribosomal RNA, 460 nt
Filed under: uncultured bacterium
Lineage: Bacteria
Description: partial 16S ribosomal RNA
Rfam family: Bacterial small subunit ribosomal RNA
Source: RNAcentral
CCUACGGGUGGCUGCAGUGAGGAAUAUUGCUCAAUGGGCGCGAGCCUGAACCAGCCAAGUCGCGUGAAUGAGGACGGCCCUACGGGUUGUAAACACCUUUUGCCGGGGAGCAACGGGCGUAACGUGUGGCGCCACUGAGAGUACCCGGAGACAAAGCAUCGGCUAACUCCGUGCCAGCAGCCGCGGUAAAACGGGGGAUGCGAGCUUUAUCUGGCUUUAAUGGGUUAACAGGACGCGUAGGCGGAUCGUUAGGUCAGUGGUAAAGUUGAGGGGCUCAACCCCUUCCCGCCAUUGAAACUGGCGCUCUUGAGUGGAAGAGAGGUAUGCGGAAUGCGUGGUGUAGCGGUGAAAUGCAUAGAUAUCACGCAGAACCCCGGUUGCGAAGGCAGCAUGCCGGCUUCCGACUGACGCUGAAGCACGAAAGCGUGGGGAUCGAACAGGAUUAGAUACCCGGGUAGUC